AUGCCGGGCAUAUCUGCUGCUGAC
RNAcentral lists this non-coding RNA (24 nucleotides) under Arabidopsis thaliana (thale cress). Lineage: Eukaryota; Viridiplantae; Streptophyta; Magnoliopsida; Brassicales; Brassicaceae. The record is from RNAcentral.